UCAUAUCAAUUCAAUUUCAUUCAAUUCAAUACAAGUUCAACACAAAUGUCAUUUUCAUUCACAAUUUGUUCAUUUCAUUACAAGGAUUUCCAUGUUCGUGCAAAAAAUCACAAUUUGGCCAAAAUUUGCUACAAUUGACUUUUGGUCAACAAUUGACUUUUUGGUCAACCAGUUGACCAAAGUCAAAUGACCCUCCCUUGACCCCUAAGACGUAUUUCCAUAAAUUUUGCCUUGAUUCGUCACUAAAAUUCAUGUUUUCCUUUGAUUUCUUCUUGGCCAAGUAACUUGGUCCAUGACUUAGUCCAUGUCCAGGUCAGACCACUAAAUGGACCAGCCUGACCAUCACUUGAACCUGCAGCUUGCCAGUCAGACCACCAAUUGAACCUACAAGAAACCUCAAUCAACAAUACAUUUGCCAUAUAUAAACCCUGAUUCAUUACACUAUUCAAAAUCCCAUAAACAAAUUUCAUUCAUUUGCAUUAACAAUCCAAUUACAUUCAAAAUUCUAUUCUCAUACAUAAACCAUUGAUUUACCAUUCAUCUUCCAAUACAAUAUUUCAAUCCAAAUUACAAAUUACAACCACAAUAAAUACACAGUUUAAGUUCCAUCACAAAUCCAUUCCAUUUGAAGCAAAAGUUUAAUGCACCUCCCACACGACUAUGAUUCGUAGCAUAACACCACAAUUUAAAUACACAUUCCACAUGGCCCGUGACAGCCCUGCAAAUUCAUUUACCUACAAAAAUCCAAACGCAUAAUAACAUUCACCCUGCAACAAUUUUCAUAAUAGGGCAAAAACAAUUCAAUAUGUAAUUGCAUAACAUAGCAAACAUUGAUCAAUAACAAAAUGGAAUUCAACCAAACAAGGAUUUCAAUUAACUUCAUUCAUUUUCACUAACCAUUUCACUUCACACUAACAAAACUCUUCUAACAACUAACUUCCCUUCAACUAACGGAUUGACUCUACAUAACUAAUAACCUAACUGUUUUUAACAGUUAGUUAACAGUUAACAGACGCGUAACAAAAUUGCACAGAUGGAAACUAACAAACCUAACUGAUCCAACAUAAUAGACAUCCUAUAUAAGCUCCCAAAUCUCAUUGUAACUUGGAGUUUUUGGAAGCUACAAUUCAUUCCUCUCCAAAUUCUCAGGAUUUCAUUCUCUUACAUUGAAACGAUUCAUUCCUGCAAAAUUCUCUCCCUCACAUUUCCACUAUCCAGAAAUUCACAGAGAUCAUCACACUCACGAUUCUUCAAGAAAAAAGCACUAGAAGCAUUGAGAAGAAUUAUAAGGAGAAAGAAAGAGUUCAAGGGAAGAGGAUCUCGUACCUGACGCCGACUCCAUUCUGGUGAGUCUCCAUUUCAUUUCUUCAUUGUUUCGCAAUAUAGAAGUUACCAAUGUGUAGCUAUAGAUUGGGGGAGUCAAAGCCCUGACCUCUAUGGAUUUGACUAUGGACGAGCAUUGUUUAAUUUCAACUUGAAGACCUAGGGUCCUUACCUCUUUUGAUUCGAUUCGAGCAUAUCCGAUUGAAUUAGACGUAGAUAUAGUGAUUUCUGGAUUCAGUGUAGAAAACUGAUUUAGGAGAUAUGUUUAAUUGAGAUUCUAGAGGCGCCUCCACCACUGGAGAUGGCCUUUGGCGCGACGGAGGGAGAACGGAGAAGAGGGAGACACAUUUGAGAUAUUUUUUCUCUGAGUCUUUUAAGCAUGUGAAUCACGUGUUUUCUAAGCUUUGACUCAUUAAUAGAGCUGUCAAUUUAAGGGGCCAAUUAAUUUAGGCCCCAACCCCCAAAAUAAGAGGGCCUAAAAAAAUUAAAGAAUAGUAAGCCCUCAACCCUAAAGUUAGAUGGGCCCAAAAUUUAAAAGAGGGCCAUAAGGCCCCAAAUAAAAUAAAAAAACUUAAUUUUGAAAAACAAAAUAAAAUAAAUUCAAAAAAUAAAAAAACUUUAUUUUGAAAACCAGGAAUAGAUA
This 1966-nucleotide long non-coding RNA is filed under the name Lathyrus oleraceus (garden pea). RNAcentral describes it as "Pisum sativum (pea) long non-coding RNA (PSAT_LNC033574)". Lineage: Eukaryota; Viridiplantae; Streptophyta; Magnoliopsida; Fabales; Fabaceae. The record is from RNAcentral.